This is a long non-coding RNA of Synchiropus splendidus (mandarinfish), 382 nucleotides long. RefSeq lists it as uncharacterized. The transcript has 3 exons. NCBI's taxonomy places the organism in Eukaryota, Metazoa, Chordata, Actinopteri, Syngnathiformes, Callionymidae. The record is from RefSeq and is a predicted model, not a curated record.
AAUAGAUCAUCCAUGAUAGAGGGAUUCUACAGGCCACUGCCACCAACCACUCACAUCAGGGAAGAGAAGGGAGGAAAAUUCUCCUUCAAUGAAAGAGAGUGCAUUUUGCCAGUAAUGCAUCCAUGCUGCGACUGCUGCUCUGGGCAAACAACCUUUUCUGCAGGAAAGCAAGUAAUUCUGAUUGGAAUGAAUGGUCGAUACAAUGUGUCCCUCCCAACUGUCAGCUGCUCCUGUGGGAAAGCUUUGGAUGUCGGUAUUAGUGAGCUGAUUGAAAGUGGCUACUGGCCAGCUACAGUCAAUUUUGAGACGAUGUACACAGUGGAUUUGUUCGCGACAUACGAAGAUCUCAAGAUUACUGCACCAGGAAUGUCAUGACAAGCUU